ACAGAAAGUGAAACAACCGACAGCGUUCCAAGCGAUGAAGAAAAUGCAGAGGGCAGACUUCAUUGGCAGAAGAAAAACAUUGAGGGCAAACAGUAUCUCAGCAAUCUGGGAAUGAGGAACACUUCUCAUAUGCUUCCCAGCAUGGCAACGUUUGUAGCCAACAAGCCUGACCUCCAAGUCACCAUCAAAGAAGAAAGCUGCCCACUGCCUUACAACAGCUCCUGGCCCCCUUUCCCAGACAUCCCUCUGCCACAAGUAGUGUCCACAGCCUCCACGAGCAGCAGCCGGCCGGACCGUGAGACACGGGCCAGCGUCAUCAAGAAAACGUCAGACAUCACCCAGUCGAGAGUCAAGAGCUGCUAAGCCUUUGACAGUGUGGUUUUUUAGCUUUGUUUUGUUUGGUUUUGUAUUUUACGUUUCUCUAGGAGAGGUUCAUCCCUUGACGCACACAAGACAAACCUAAGGUAAAGCCUUGGCAAUAUAAAACAUUGCUGUGUCCGACUCCGGUGCCGGAGUGUUUUUAACUCAGGACUCCAGCUGUCAGUGUGUACACCUGAACCCAGGCGGAUUUCCAAGGUCGCUGCAUAGGAAAACAACCCAAGAACUUUGGCCCACUCGCAGGUUCCAGUGUUGUCAGAAGAGGACCAACCGACCACAGGGGAAGUGGUGCUGCUGCGCUUCUUGCUGUCAAGGCUGCGAUGGAACUGAAAGCCUCAGAAUGGAAGAGAAAAUGUGAACUAGCUGGAAUAUUUUUAAAUAAAGAAAAAUCUAUUGUGAAUAUUGUACAUAGUGCAGUACUAGCAACGUUGCAGUCUGCUUCUGCACCUUAUUAAGAAAGCACUUACGAAAGGCCUUUUAUUACCUUGCUCUACUUAAUGGCACAUUGAAGGUCCCUCCCCACCUGUAUUCUUUUCCAAGGCUAUUCUUGCUAAAGUGUCUUUAAAGAAUAGAGGAAAGGAAAGGAAGUUAAAACUUCCCGUGUGGAUUUCAUACGUUUUAAGACUGCUUUUCUCAUGUUUGUUUCUAAUCUGCUAUGCUUGAAUGCCGCGUGGUACAAUAGGAAAAAAAAAAGAUACCUAUUACAGAGAUAUUAUGCAAAUUCCCAGAUUUAAAAAAAGAAGAAGAAAAAUACUCUAAUUCUAACCAGAGCAAGCUUUUUUAUUUUUUAUACAGGGGAAUAUUUUAUUCAAAGUAAAAUUCUAAAGUGAAUAUAAUUUUUUUUAAUCUUUUCUACAGCAAAUUUAUAAUUUUAAGAUUCAGUCCUUGGUUAUCAGCAGUUAUUACAUCCUUGUGGCACAUUUUUUUUUUUUAAUUUUGUAAAGGUGAAAUAGCUUUUAUGAGCUCAUGUAGCAAUCAGAUUAUCCUGUGGAUUGAUAAUAAAUAUGGUAUAUAUAGUUAAAUUUU
Non-coding RNA from Tauraco erythrolophus (red-crested turaco), 1404 nucleotides. The record is from RefSeq and is a predicted model, not a curated record. NCBI's taxonomy places the organism in Eukaryota, Metazoa, Chordata, Aves, Musophagiformes, Musophagidae.